UCUCUGAUUCAGCGGCGGACGGGUGAGUAAUGCCUAGGAAUCUGCCUGGUAGUGGGGGACAACGUUUCGAAAGGAACGCUAAUACCGCAUACGUCCUACGGGAGAAAGCAGGGGACCUUCGGGCCUUGCGCUAUCAGAUGAGCCUAGGUCGGAUUAGCUAGUUGGUGAGGUAAUGGCUCACCAAGGCGACGAUCCGUAACUGGUCUGAGAGGAUGAUCAGUCACACUGGAACUGAGACACGGUCCAGACUCCUACGGGAGGCAGCAGUGGGGAAUAUUGGACAAUGGGCGAAAGCCUGAUCCAGCCAUGCCGCGUGUGUGAAGAAGGUCUUCGGAUUGUAAAGCACUUUAAGUUGGGAGGAAGGGCAGUAAGUUAAUACCUUGCUGUUUUGACGUUACCGACAGAAUAAGCACCGGCUAACUUCGUGCCAGCAGCCGCGGUAAUACGAAGGGUGCAAGCGUUAAUCGGAAUUACUGGGCGUAAAGCGCGCGUAGGUGGUUUGUUAAGUUGGAAGUGAAAGCCCCGGGCUCAACCUGGGAACUGCUUUCAAAACUGGCAAGCUAGAGUAUGGCAGAGGGUGGUGGAAUUUCCUGUGUAGCG
Molecule: ribosomal RNA, 600 nt
Filed under: uncultured bacterium
Lineage: Bacteria
Description: bacterial SSU rRNA
Rfam family: Bacterial small subunit ribosomal RNA
Source: RNAcentral